UCCUUAGGUGAACCUGCGGAGGGAUCAUUACCGAGUUUACAACUCCCAAACCCCUGUGAACAUACCAAUUGUUGCCUCGGCGGAUCAGCCCGCUCCCGGUAAAACGGGACGGCCCGCCAGAGGACCCCUAAACUCUGUUUCUAUAUGUAACUUCUGAGUAAAACCAUAAAUAAAUCAAAACUUUCAACAACGGAUCUCUUGGUUCUGGCAUCGAUGAAGAACGCAGCAAAAUGCGAUAAGUAAUGUGAAUUGCAGAAUUCAGUGAAUCAUCGAAUCUUUGAACGCACAUUGCGCCCGCCAGUAUUCUGGCGGGCAUGCCUGUUCGAGCGUCAUUUCAACCCUCAAGCCCCCGGGUUUGGUGUUGGGGAUCGGCGAGCCCUUGCGGCAAGCCGGCCCCGAAAUCUAGUGGCGGUCUCGCUGCAGCUUCCAUUGCGUAGUAGUAAAACCCUCGCAACUGGUACGCGGCGCGGCCAAGCCGUUAAACCCCCAACUUCUGAAUGUUGACCUCGGAUCAGGUAGGAAUACCCGCUGAACUUAAGCAUAUCAAUAAGCGGAGGA
This 558-nucleotide ribosomal RNA is filed under the name Fusarium verticillioides. Its description in RNAcentral is "eukaryotic LSU rRNA". The stretch from base 179 to 332 matches the Rfam family "5.8S ribosomal RNA". Lineage: Eukaryota; Fungi; Ascomycota; Sordariomycetes; Hypocreales; Nectriaceae. The record is from RNAcentral.